Molecule: ribosomal RNA, 141 nt
Filed under: uncultured bacterium
Lineage: Bacteria
Description: partial 16S rRNA
Rfam family: Bacterial small subunit ribosomal RNA
Source: RNAcentral
UGGGGAAUUUUCCGCAAUGGGCGAAAGCCUGACGGAGCAAUGCCGCGUGGAGGUGGAAGGCCUACGGGUCGUCAACUUCUUUUCUCGGAGAAGAAACAAUGACGGUAUCUGAGGAAUAAGCAUCGGCUAACUCUGUUCCAG